CUCGUGACGUUUUAUCCGGCAAUUAGCGAAGUGUCAAGAGCGUUGUCAUAGGUUGUCAUUUCUCUGGGAUGUUAGGCUACCAGGACGUGGGGUUUUGCACGAAACUUUAAAUGUGACACGAGUGUGUGAAGAGGGUGUGUGCCUGGAUAACUUUGCCAGGGAGAAGAAGUCUGACAAAUCCCAGAGUGGUCUGUGUCGUCUCCUCACCCCUACCAAGGGGUCAUCCUGACCUCGGACCCCCCUCUUGCCCCCUCCCACGAGCCUGACCCAGUGAUCCCCCAACCCCCCACCUUGCCCCAAAGCAGACUGAAGAACCCUAAACAGUGCCAGGCUCAAUCACCACUCAAGUCCCCUGAGAUCACGCAGGUCGUACAUAAAGAUUCUCUUGGAAGUUGUAAAAGGAGGGAUAUCAACAAAACCUUUUUUUUUCAGACUG
This is a long non-coding RNA of Oncorhynchus tshawytscha (Chinook salmon), 436 nucleotides long. The record is from Ensembl. Lineage: Eukaryota; Metazoa; Chordata; Actinopteri; Salmoniformes; Salmonidae.